UACGGGGGGGCAAGCGUUGUUCGGAAUUACUGGGCGUAAAGGGCGCGUAGGCGGUCUGCUAAGUUGGAUGUGAAAACUCUGGGCUUAACCCAGAGCCUGCAUUCAAUACUGACAGGCUAGAGUUCUGGAGGGGAUAGCGGAAUUCCUGGUGUAGCGGUGAAAUGCGUAGAUAUCUGGAGGAACACCGGUGGCGAAGGCGGCAUCCUGGACCGAUACUGACGCUGAGGAGCGAAAGCCAGGGGAGCAAACGGG
Molecule: ribosomal RNA, 252 nt
Filed under: uncultured bacterium
Lineage: Bacteria
Description: partial 16S ribosomal RNA
Rfam family: Bacterial small subunit ribosomal RNA
Source: RNAcentral